CACAUCAAAGUCUUAUUAACACACUACAUGAAUGAUUUUCUAAACUAGUUUUGUUUUGGUGUUGUAGUCAAAUAUCUAAACAUUCUUCAUUCAGAGGCUGUCGAUGACAUCAUCCUGCAGUCUGAGCGCGUGCAGAAGAAGCCCCUCCCACCGCGCGGCUGAUAAAAUACAGUAUCUUCGUCCGUCGGGAUGCAAACAGCCGCUGUGCAGAUGUUCAGACACCUGAGCGCUCAUCUGAAAAUCCUGCUAUUAACCCCUUCAACCCUCACCCCGCUCCAGCAGCGUCCGUCAAGGAUACACGUGUGAACACGCAACAGCGGCCUUGAACCCAUGACGUGUGUGUGUGUGUGUGUGUGUGUGUGCACCAGGUGUUUCUUAAUAAAUGCCGUGUUUACAUCCA
This is a long non-coding RNA of Cyprinus carpio (common carp), 400 nucleotides long. Lineage: Eukaryota; Metazoa; Chordata; Actinopteri; Cypriniformes; Cyprinidae. The record is from Ensembl.